GAUCAUGGCUCAGGACGAACGCUGGCGGCGUGCCUAACACAUGCAAGUCGAGCGAUGAAGCCCUUCGGGGUGAAUUAGCGGCGGACGGGUGAGUAACACGUGGGUAACCUGCCUUAUAGAGGGGGAUAGCCUUCCGAAAGGAAGAUUAAUACCGCAUGAAAUGUUUUUAUCGCAUGGUAGAAACAUCAAAGGAGUAAUCCGCUAUAAGAUGGACCCGCGGCGCAUUAGCUAGUUGGUGAGGUAACGGCCCACCAAGGCGACGAUGCGUAGCCGACCUGAGAGGGUGAUCGGCCACAUUGGAACUGAGACACGGUCCAGACUCCUACGGGAGGCAGCAGUGGGGAAUAUUGCGCAAUGGGGGAAACCCUGACGCCAGCAACGCCGCGUGAAUGAAGAAGGCCUUAGGGUUGUAAAGUUCUGUUUUCUGGGACGAUAAUGACGGUACCAGAGGAGGAAGCCACGGCUAACUACGUGCCAGCAGCAGC
RNAcentral lists this ribosomal RNA (485 nucleotides) under uncultured bacterium. RNAcentral describes it as "bacterial SSU rRNA". It matches the Rfam family "Bacterial small subunit ribosomal RNA", at positions 15 to 518 of the family's 1533-position model. The record is from RNAcentral.